Molecule: ribosomal RNA, 381 nt
Filed under: uncultured marine Chaetocerotaceae
Lineage: Eukaryota; Bacillariophyta; Thalassiosirophyceae; Chaetocerotales; Chaetocerotaceae
Description: SSU rRNA
Rfam family: Eukaryotic small subunit ribosomal RNA
Source: RNAcentral
AGCUCCAAUAGCGUAUAUUAAAGUUGCUGCAGUUAAAAAGCUCGUAGUUGCAUUUCCGAGGCAAGGGAUUAGUCCGACCUUUGGUGGGUAUUUAAUCCUCUUGCCUCGUCCUUGAGUGGUGCUUCUUGGUAUUAAGUUAUCGAGGAGAUAGCCGCUCAUCGUUUACUGUGAGAAAAUUAGAGUGUUCAAAGCAGGCUUAUGCCGUUGAAUAUAUUAGCAUGGAAUAAUAAGAUAGGACCUCGGUACUAUUUUGUUGGUUUGAGAACCAAGGUAAUGAUGAAUAGGGACAGGUGGGGGUAUGCGUAUUCAGUUGUCAGAGGUGAAAUUCUUAGAUUUACGGAAGACGAACUACUGCGAAAGCAUUUACCAAGGAUGUUUUCA